RNAcentral lists this ribosomal RNA (478 nucleotides) under uncultured bacterium. RNAcentral describes it as "partial 16S ribosomal RNA". It matches the Rfam family "Bacterial small subunit ribosomal RNA", at positions 28 to 507 of the family's 1533-position model. The record is from RNAcentral.
GAUGAACGCUGGCGGCGUGCUUAACACAUGCAAGUCGAACGGGAAAUAUUUCAUUGAGACUUCGGUGGAUUUGAUUUAUUCCUAGUGGCGGACGGGUGAGUAACGCGUGGGUAACCUGCCUUAUACAGGGGGAUAACAGUCAGAAAUGGCUGCUAAUACCGCAUAAGCGCACAGAGCUGCAUGGCUCAGUGUGAAAAACUCCGGUGGUAUAAGAUGGACCCGCGUUGGAUUAGCUAGUUGGUGGGGUAACGGCCCACCAAGGCGACGAUCCAUAGCCGGCCUGAGAGGGUGAACGGCCACAUUGGGACUGAGACACGGCCCAGACUCCUACGGGAGGCAGCAGUGGGGAAUAUUGCACAAUGGGGGAAACCCUGAUGCAGCGACGCCGCGUGAAGGAAGAAGUAUCUCGGUAUGUAAACUUCUAUCAGCAGGGAAGAUAGUGACGGUACCUGACGAAGAAGCCCCGGCUAACUACGUG